AACAUCGCGCACCUGCGGGAACCUGCGGAGGGAUCAUUACCGAGUGUGAACCCCCCCGUAAAAAAGAGGGGUUACCUCCCGUCCUUUGCUGGGAACCCCUUUCCAACUUGGAAGGAGGUUGUUUUCAGACCCUUCUGCUUCGGUGGGGUAACCCACCGGAACAACCUCAAAAAUAUUCUCAAUUCAAAACCGUUCAGUCCGAGAACUUUUUUGAAAAGCGAAAAAACUUUCAACAACGGA
RNAcentral lists this unclassified non-coding RNA (240 nucleotides) under soil metagenome. RNAcentral's name for it is "partial contains 5.8S ribosomal RNA, internal transcribed spacer 2, and large subunit ribosomal RNA". The record is from RNAcentral.